GAAACGACUGCUAAGACUGGAUAGGAGAUAAGAAGGCAUCUUCUUAUUUUUAAAAGACCUAGUAAUAGGUAUGCUUAAGGAGGGGCUUGCGUCACAUUAGUUAGUUGGUAGGGUAAAGGCCUACCAAGACGAUGAUGUGUAGCCGGGCUGAGAGGCUGAACGGCCACAUUGGAAUUGAGACACGGUCCAAACUCCUACGGGAGGCAGCAGUAGGGAAUUUUCGGCAAUGGAGGAAACUCUGACCGAGCAACGCCGCGUGAACGAUGAAGUAUUUCGGUACGUAAAGUUCUUUUAUUAAGGAAGAAAAGAUGGUGGAAAAACCAUUAUGACGGUACUUAAUGAAUAAGCCCCGGCUAACUAUGUGCCAGCAGCCGCGGUAAUACAUAGGGGGCGAGCGUUAUCCGGAAUUAUUGGGCGUAAAGGGUGCGUAGGCGGUUUAAUAAGUUUAUGGUCUAAGUGCAAUGCUUAACAUUGUGAUGCUAUAAAAACUGUUUGACUAGAGUUGGAUAGAGGCAAGUGGAAUUCCAUGUGUAGUGGUAAAAUGCGUAAAUAUAUGGAGGAACACCAUGAGCGAAGGCGGCUUGCUGGGUCUUAACUGACGCUGAGGCACGAAAGCGUGGGGAGCAAACAGGAUUAGAUACCCUGGUAGUCCACGCUGUAAACGAUGAGUACUAGACGUUGGGUUAAACCAGUGUCGAAGUUAACACAUUAAGUACUCCGCCUGAGUAGUACGUACGCAAGUAUGAAACUUAAAGGAAUUGACGGGACUCCGCACAAGCGGUGGAUCAUGUUGUUUAAUUCGAAGAUACCCGAAAAACCUCACCAGGUCUUGACAUGCUUCUGCAAAGCUGUAGAAAUAUAGUAGAGGUUAUCAGUUGUACAGGUGGUGCAUGGUUGUCGUCAGCUCGUGUCGUGAGAUGUUGGGUUAAGUCCCGCAACGAGCGCAACCCUUGUUGUUAAUUGCCAUCAUUAAGUUGGGGACUUUAGCAAGACUGCCAGUGAUAAAUUGGAGGAAGGUGGGGAUGACGUCAAAUCAUCAUGCCCCUUAUGACCUGGGCUACAAACGUGAUACAAUGGCUGUUACAAAGGGUAGCUGAAGCGCAAGUUUUUGGCAAAUCUCAAAAAAACAGUCUCAGUUCGGAUUGAAGUCUGCAACUCGACUUCAUGGAGUUGGAAUCGCUAGUAAUCGCGAAUCAGCAUGUCGCGGUGAAUACGUUCACGGGGUUUGUACACACCGCCCGUCA
RNAcentral lists this ribosomal RNA (1244 nucleotides) under Strawberry red leaf phytoplasma. RNAcentral's name for it is "bacterial SSU rRNA". It matches the Rfam family "Bacterial small subunit ribosomal RNA", at positions 153 to 1399 of the family's 1533-position model. Lineage: Bacteria; Bacillati; Mycoplasmatota; Mollicutes; Acholeplasmatales; Acholeplasmataceae. The record is from RNAcentral.